UACGUAUGGUGCAAGCGUUGUCCGGAAUUAUUGGGCGUAAAGAGCGUGUAGGCGGCCCGAUUAGUCCGCUGUGAAAGUCCAGGGCUCAACCCUGGAAUGCCGGUGGAUACUGUCGGGCUAGAGUCCGGAAGGGGCGAGUGGAAUUCCUGGUGUAGCGGUGAAAUGCGCAGAUAUCAGGAGGAACACCAAUGGCGAAGGCAGCUCGCUGGGACGUGACUGACGCUGAGACGCGAAAGCGUGGGGAGCAAACAGG
Molecule: ribosomal RNA, 253 nt
Filed under: uncultured bacterium
Lineage: Bacteria
Description: partial 16S ribosomal RNA
Rfam family: Bacterial small subunit ribosomal RNA
Source: RNAcentral